Molecule: ribosomal RNA, 202 nt
Filed under: uncultured bacterium
Lineage: Bacteria
Description: partial 16S ribosomal RNA
Rfam family: Bacterial small subunit ribosomal RNA
Source: RNAcentral
ACGCUCGACACCUACGGGAUGCAGCAGUGGGGAAUAUUGCACAAUGGGGGAAACCCUGAUGCAGCGACGCCGCGUGAGCGAAGAAGUAUUUCGGUAUGUAAAGCUCUAUCAGCAGGGAAGAAACUGACGGUACCUGACUAAGAAGCACCGGCUAAAUACGUGCCAGCAGCCGACGGUAAUCUGAGGCGGGCUGGACGAAGGC